AACGGUCUAUACCUGCGGUACCUGCGGAAGGAUCAUUACAGGACUCGCAAGACUCCUACAACCCUGUGAACCUACUAUACGAACGUUGCUUCGGCGGGUGCGCCCCGGGGAUUCGUUCCCGCGGCGCGUCAGCCCGCCGGCAGCCUACAAAUUCUGUUUCUUUGCGUUGGCAUCUCGAGAAAAACAAAUAAGUUAAAACUUUCAGCAACGGAUCUCU
RNAcentral lists this unclassified non-coding RNA (217 nucleotides) under soil metagenome. RNAcentral's name for it is "partial contains 5.8S ribosomal RNA, internal transcribed spacer 2, and large subunit ribosomal RNA". The record is from RNAcentral.